AUGAAAUACAACAUAUGGGAGACAAGCAUACUUGAUUCUGUAGCUUGAUCAAAAUGUAAUUAAUAAUUAUUAAUUAAAUAAAAUGAUAAAAUAGACAAACCAAAUCCACUUACGACAUCUACCCUCUUUCAAAAUGGGUUUGAUUUUAGAUGGGUUUGAUGGAUUACCCGACCCAUGCUCAUCAAUGUAAAAUCAAUACGUAGCUCAAUCAACCUACUAUCUCCGACAAAGAAAAAACAAUCUAAUGAACCAGCUUAACCGGUUGGUUUGGCAGCCGAUUCGAAACAAUAAUCUGGACCCACGUCAUCAAAAUCCAAUGACGUGUCAUCUUCUUCCAUCUCCCACCUCUGCAACAUCUCCAUUUCCUCUGCAACUUAAAAAAAAGCCUCCUUGCAGACUGACUGACUAAAAGCAUCCAUCUUUUUCUCCCUUUAACCCCGUGCGAGCUCACGGGCUUCUCAGCCAUCACAAGAAAAACGAUUCAGGAUAACAAAGACGUCAAGGCAAGAAAACAAAAAAGUUAGUAUGGACACAAGUUUCAGCGCUGCCAGUAAUCAUGGGCAGGUGAUGGACGGUUCGGAUAUAAUGGAGUUGGUUGGGAACCAGCAGGUGUUUACCAGCUUCAUCGAUCACAAGUUCUCUGAACUCGAUACAGAUAACGACGGCCAUCUCUCUGUCAAGGAGCUCCAUCCUGCUGUCGCCGACAUUG
Molecule: long non-coding RNA, 709 nt
Filed under: Linum usitatissimum (flax)
Lineage: Eukaryota; Viridiplantae; Streptophyta; Magnoliopsida; Malpighiales; Linaceae
Description: long non-coding RNA (LUSI_LNC004392)
Source: RNAcentral